Long non-coding RNA from Aegilops tauschii subsp. strangulata, 1195 nucleotides. RefSeq lists it as uncharacterized. The record is from RefSeq and is a predicted model, not a curated record. Lineage: Eukaryota; Viridiplantae; Streptophyta; Magnoliopsida; Poales; Poaceae.
ACAGAUCCCGUAAAAAUCAUUUCAGGUCAAAUGCGAAGCCCACUAGUCAGUGGUUGAAUUUACAACAAGGUCCCUGCAAAAUAGCACAACACACCCUAAAAGCAAAAUGUAAAUUACAAUAGGCGCCUGAGACCACCGGUGCCUCGCCAGUGCCCCGCUGCCGGCGACCAGCGCCUCCUCCUUCCCCCCUCUUCCUUUCUCUUCCACUGCUCUCCCGAGUUCCUUCUCUCUCUCACGCAUCCCUCCCCCUCUCUCCACAGGAGCACCGAACCCGCCAUGGACAGGGAGCUCACAGCUCGCGCAGCCCGGAUCCGCCUCGUUCGCCCACACCCAACCAGAUCUGUCGUUUUCUGCCUCAGUUUCUUCGCCGCCGUCGUCGUAUUCUGGCUGGCUGCCACCGGACCUGACACACGCAUCUCGCGUUAAGCCCUGCAUCACGCCGCCAACUUCCGGCCUCGUGCGCCUGCACGGGGCAGACACAACCAAGUCGUGCCUCGUGCGCUUGCACGGAAUGACGGCAUUGUGAGGCUCUGGCUGCUCCAUGGCGACACGCGGCCGGCCGAGGGAGGUGCUACGGUGAGCUGCCGGUAAGGCUCGCGGCGGCGGAAGCGCAGGGGCUAGAGCGGUUGCUCCUAAAACUUCCCUCUAGCCAACGUUUUUCUAGUGGGAGCUGAAACAAGGCCCCGAAAACUGAAGAUAUGAGGAAGAGGGCACACGACUACAUUUUUGAAGUCUACAAGAGGAGCCCCUGUGGCUUUUAUAACGCCAUGAUUUUGUUAGAGAAGCAAAACCUAAGAAGUAAAGGCCAUCGCCAAGAGAGACGUCCAUCCGGCUCUUGUGAACUUCAACGCAGCAGUAGAAUAAUCCUCGAUGUUUCUCAAGCCCAUGCUACUCACUCAGAUAGAACGUGAUUCUACUUCUUGAAUAGGUGGAUGACCUUCAUUCAUCAUAACUAAGGAACAUGACUACAAGACUUGUACUAGAACUAUAUUUAUCCCUUCGAAAUUGCUGAUGUGAAGGUGCUUCGGUAGCUCACCACAAUGCAUUUAUCGAAUUGUACACACACAUUUAUCUUCACUUUCAGCACAUGCACCACAUCUAUUCUAGUCAAUUUGAUUUGCUAUCUUCGCCUUUUAUGGCAGAAUCAUAUUGUCUUUGAUAUGAUCAUAUGAUUGCACCAUACGCAUAUGAAUCA